CACGUAGGGGGCAAGCGUUGUCCGGAUUUAUUGGGCGUAAAGAGCUCGUAGGCGGUUCGGUAAGUCGGGUGUGAAACCUCCAGGCUCAACCUGGAGAUGCCACCUGAUACUGCUGUGACUCGAGUCCGGUAGGGGAGCGUGGAAUUCCUGGUGUAGCGGUGAAAUGCGCAGAUAUCAGGAGGAACACCAGCGGCGAAGGCGGCGCUCUGGGCCGGAACUGACGCUGAGGCACGAAAGCGUGGGGAGCAAACAGG
RNAcentral lists this ribosomal RNA (254 nucleotides) under uncultured bacterium. RNAcentral's name for it is "partial 16S ribosomal RNA". It matches the Rfam family "Bacterial small subunit ribosomal RNA", at positions 524 to 776 of the family's 1533-position model. The record is from RNAcentral.